This 473-nucleotide long non-coding RNA is filed under the name Selaginella moellendorffii. RNAcentral's name for it is "long non-coding RNA (SMOE_LNC001652)". Lineage: Eukaryota; Viridiplantae; Streptophyta; Lycopodiopsida; Selaginellales; Selaginellaceae. The record is from RNAcentral.
AUAUUUCAAACUGAUAACUGCAAACUUGGAGUUGGGAACACUAUCGCGGACUACAACAUCCAAAAUGAGUUUAUGCUCCAUCUGGUUCUGUGUCUCGCAUGCAAAUCAUCGUCUCAUGUUUUGGAUAUUUAAAACUUGUUCACAAAACUUUUUAGCGAUGACUGCAAAGACUCCUUGGCGAAGUGAUCGAUGUCCAAGGCCUGCAAAUCCACAGACAAAAUCCUAAGAAAAUCAAUGGAGAGAUGGAGAAACCUUGGCACGGAUGCAGAUGCAUGCGACGCGCGAAGCAUCAUCGACCGAGACGGACGCGUCCUGAACAAUCAGCUGGUGUUGGCGCAGAAUCCACAGCACACUCAACAAGAGCCUGGCCUGCAUCCUGCAGCUCAUGUUGACGAACACAUCCGACUUGCAUAUGUGCAGCCCCAAGCUAGAACUCGAUCCCGCUGCUGCCGCCAUCGCCAUCGCAUUCCACU